GACGAACGCUGGCGGCGUGCUUAACACAUGCAAGUCGAACGGAAAGGCCCUGCUUUUGUGGGGUGCUCGAGUGGCGAACGGGUGAGUAACACGUGAGUAACCUGCCCUUGACUUUGGGAUAACUUCAGGAAACUGGGGCUAAUACCGGAUAGGAGCUCCUGCUGCAUGGUGGGGGUUGGAAAGUUUCGGCGGUUGGGGAUGGACUCGCGGCUUAUCAGCUUGUUGGUGGGGUAGUGGCUUACCAAGGCUUUGACGGGUAGCCGGCCUGAGAGGGUGAACGGCCACAUUGGGACUGAGAUACGGCCCAGACUCCUACGGGAGGCAGCAGUGGGGAAUAUUGCACAAUGGGAGGAAGCCUGAUGCAGAAACGCCGCGUGCGGGAUGACGGCCUUCGGGUUGUAAACCGCUUUCGCCUGUGACGAAGCGUGAGUGACGGUAAUGGGUAAAGAAGCACCGGCUAACUACGUG
RNAcentral lists this ribosomal RNA (468 nucleotides) under uncultured bacterium. RNAcentral's name for it is "partial 16S ribosomal RNA". It matches the Rfam family "Bacterial small subunit ribosomal RNA", at positions 28 to 507 of the family's 1533-position model. The record is from RNAcentral.